CAGGAACAAAAUUUGUUCUUUGUCCAUCAUACCAAAUACAUAUCAAUCUUAUUUCAAUAAUCUCGUUUCAUAUUUCUUUUGUCUUGUAUACCAUUCAUGUGCUGCCACUUGUUCGUAUAAAAUACCAUCCUUCACAGUCAUUCGCAUAGUUAUCCAGAUUAACCCAGAAACAUUUAAAAAAAAUAUUGUAAAUGGAUGCAUUUAAAAAUCGAAAGCAAAUCUGGACUUGAUUACUAGCUGUAAAUUCGAUGUUUCUUCUUCCUCAAAACGCCAGCGUUUUAGAAGUUCUCACACGUGUCAACAUCUCCUUUGCCUUGGAAAUCCAUCUGUUCACUUCCCCAGGCAUGAUCCCAACAUCUCCUUUGCCAUGGAAAUCCAUCUGCUUUCCUUGUGUGUGAGAGAGAGACGCUCCUGCUUCACCUAAUUUCAUAGUUGUUACAAAGUGUAUCUGUUGUUCUGGUCAAUGAAAAUUCUGACCACAAAGAAAAGGAAAAACAAAACGAUGAGGCUCUAAAGCCUUUUGUUUUUUC
This 530-nucleotide long non-coding RNA is filed under the name Populus trichocarpa (black cottonwood). Its description in RNAcentral is "long non-coding RNA (PTRI_LNC003238)". Lineage: Eukaryota; Viridiplantae; Streptophyta; Magnoliopsida; Malpighiales; Salicaceae. The record is from RNAcentral.